GACGAACGCUGGCGGCGUGCUUAACACAUGCAAGUCGAACGGUAAGGCCCUUCGGGGUACACGAGUGGCGAACGGGUGAGUAACACGUGGGUGAUCUGCCCUGCACUUCGGGAUAAGCCUGGGAAACUGGGUCUAAUACCGGAUAGGACCACUGCCUGCAUGGGUGGUGGUGGAAAGCUUUUGCGGUGUGGGAUGGGCCCGCGGCCUAUCAGCUUGUUGGUGGGGUGAUGGCCUACCAAGGCGACGACGGGUAGCCGGCCUGAGAGGGUGACCGGCCACACUGGGACUGAGAUACGGCCCAGACUCCUACGGGAGGCAGCAGUGGGGAAUAUUGCACAAUGGGCGCAAGCCUGAUGCAGCGACGCCGCGUGAGGGAUGACGGCCUUCGGGUUGUAAACCUCUUUCGGCACCGACGAAGCGCAAGUGACGGUAGGUGCAGAAGAAGGACCGGCCAACUACGUGCCUGCCGCCGCAGUAA
Molecule: ribosomal RNA, 478 nt
Filed under: uncultured bacterium
Lineage: Bacteria
Description: partial 16S ribosomal RNA
Rfam family: Bacterial small subunit ribosomal RNA
Source: RNAcentral